Molecule: non-coding RNA, 1915 nt
Organism: Triticum urartu
Lineage: Eukaryota; Viridiplantae; Streptophyta; Magnoliopsida; Poales; Poaceae
Source: RefSeq, a predicted model, not a curated record
AUUGUGUUUUUUUUGUCUACAGGUGUUAAAAAACAAGCCAGACUUUCGUCGGAAGCCUUGGGCAAACAUUACUCCAAGUGCUAAAGAUUUUGUACAGAAGUUACUAGUUAAGGAUCCCCGUGCAAGACUAACUGCUGCUCAGGCAUUAUCACAUGAAUGGGUCAGAGAAGGAGGGCAGGCAUCUGAAAUACCCCUGGACAUAUCAGUAUUGCAUAAUAUGCGACAGUUUGUGAAAUACAGUCGUUUCAAACAGUUUGCUUUAAGGGCAUUAGCAUCUACAUUAAAUCCAGAAGAACUGUCUGAUCUUCGUGACCAGUUCAAUGCCAUUGAUAUUGACAAGAGUGGAACGAUUAGCCUGGAAGAACUGAAGCAGGUAGAUAUUGUUGGUAUUUUUUGCUUCAUUAGUUGACUGUUUUACUAAUAUCUUUUCUUCCUACUUAUAAAGGUUGGAGUUGGUGGGCGAGUUCAUGUAGGACCAACACAAAUAAACAAAUGCACUUUUACACACAUGGGACUAGAACCUUCGAAGAGAUAUAAAUAAACAAAUGCACUUUUACUCACAUGUCAGACCUACCACAAAUAAACAAAUACACUAUACUAAUUUAAUGUGAGCACCAGUCUUGUGAGAAACACAAGUAGCAAAUGCAGAAAUGUGACUCGAACUCAAAAUCAUGCUCUUGGUUUUAGUUUCUCUUCCCAUCCAAUUUCUUCCAAUUAUACAUCAACUGCAGAGAGAUCUUUCGUCAUAUUUGUGCUCUCUUUUGAUCUUGAAUAGUGCAACAGCAGCAAGACACCAAUGCCUUUUGAUGAUCUCCUAAGAGCAUCUCCAAUAGCUGCCCUAUAAUAGGGCAUAAUCGAUUUUUAGGGCAUUUGGGUACAAAAUCGCUGCUCCAACAGCUGCCCUUGUUGUAAAAUUUGCUCGAAAUUCUUUUGGACAGCCCAAAAAAACAGCACCAAGUGCUGCAAAUAUAAAGCACUUCGGCUGCUGCCACAAAACGGAACGAGUUGCGCGUGCAGCCCCAACCGCCAAUUAAAGUUCCUCCAGUCGCACACUCCUCUCGGCCCCCUCUUUCCCGCCGCCGUUGCCAGCUGAUUCCGGCUAGAUCCGACGCCUCACCGCCCCCUCACCGGCCCGGCUCCCCCUCAGCUUCCCCUACCGAUUCCCCUCCGCCACCGGCCAUCCCCGCCACCCCGGCGAGCUCCUCCGCCUGCGCUCCCCCUGCGCGUGGCGCGGGAGCAUGCGUGAAUCAAUCCCGUCGGCUGUGCCCGCGAGCACCCGUCCGCUGCGGUGCAGCAGAAAGUCCCCGUGCAGCCAAUGCCCUUCUGCCACAUCCCCCGAUGCAGCGGCCUCACGCCACGCACGGCGGAGGCCUUGCACGCCGACAUUGUCCGCGUAAGCUGCAGGUGGAGUAGCAAGUUGUGCGGCUCGCACUCGUCCAUGUGGCCGCAUGAGCUGCAGGUGAAGCUGCAGAUUUGUCUUAGGCGGUGACCGCGGCGAGCUCCAGCUCCCCUCCGCCCACGUGGAUCCAGCUCCAGGCUGCAGCAGCACCAACGCCGACACGUCUGGCGGCCUCCGACGAGGUGUGGCUGCACGAGAAGAUGCGUUGACCGCUGAUCUCGUUUUGCCUUCUCCCAAUCUGAAGCAACACUGAUUCAGGUCAUGCAGAAUCAAAUGAGCUGAUUCAUCAACGCUGAUUCAGUUCGUCAAAUUAUUGCUACACCAAGUAGGAGAUAACCUGGCAGCUAAUCCCUCUAGCUUGUCGUCAGAUGCCAAUCACAUGUGGCUUAAUCAAGAGGACGGCAAUUGUAUAAAUUGUCGCCAAGGAAUACAAGGUACUGAAUGUGAUCCACCUCCUCAUCCAUCGAGCUGAUAAGUAGUAGUUAAUCGGGGUGAAUAAAACUAGUGAAUUUUAUG